RNAcentral lists this long non-coding RNA (884 nucleotides) under Homo sapiens (human). RNAcentral's name for it is "HSALNT0041454". The record is from RNAcentral. Lineage: Eukaryota; Metazoa; Chordata; Mammalia; Primates; Hominidae.
AACACCUAUGUUGAUUGUUUGGUGCAUAAGAAUUGAGAUGAUGGAAAGAGGUCACUGUGAGCUUCAGGAAUAGCUUGAGGCUAACUGAUAAAACAGAGUGGAUUGACAAUUAUUCUCUGGACUUUUUGGUAACCAAGAACUUCUAGCAACUAACCCUGGCAUGACCACCAGAAUCUGCAGGGCUGAGAGAAGAAAGAAAGGCAAAAGUGGAUGAAUGCAGCUGAAGAUGCUGUGGAACUCCUAUCACAUUCCAAGUGCUGUGUUGAUAUCUGGAGAUAUAGACAAGAUCGAAGCAGAUGCAGUCUUUCACAUGAAUAUUUGAAUCAGGCAGAUGCAGGUGAUGGGUAUUGGCCUCAGCUUUAGAGACCAGAGGUUAAAUCUCAGUGCUGCCUGCCACAAAACGAUCCAUGUAAGUCAAUAAACAAUGCUUUUUAAAAUAUUAUUAUAAAGAUAUAGUGUGUGGAUCCCUCUCAAUUGUCCAUUCUUCCCUGUCACAAAAAUUUGCCUGCUUUUCGUUACCAUGUGAGAGGCAAAUGAAUUGAACUAAAUGGUUUCUAAUGCCCUGUCCACCUCUAAAAUUCUAUAGAACUGUGAUUUGAUUCCAAUGGGCCAUAUCAGGACUCGGCAUUAUUUUCAUCAGUGAACCAUUUCAUUAGAAAUUUAUUUUUCCAAAUGAUAUUAGUAAAUAUUGAAGGAGGCUUCUCCCACAGAGCUUCUUGUACAAAUUAAAACAGGGCAGUAGAAGGUUUUCAGGUUGGUGAAGUCAACUCUGGCUUUUAGUCAACCAUUCCAAAAAAACAUUUUCUUUAGAAUCCAAGGGCUUGCAAUUGUUCUGAAUAAAGCAUAAAGAAGCUGUUCUGAUUUAUUAAAUAAAAAGAGUACCA